Molecule: ribosomal RNA, 842 nt
Filed under: Campylobacter sp.
Lineage: Bacteria; Pseudomonadati; Campylobacterota; Epsilonproteobacteria; Campylobacterales; Campylobacteraceae
Description: bacterial SSU rRNA
Rfam family: Bacterial small subunit ribosomal RNA
Source: RNAcentral
UAACUGCUUGGGAACUGAUAGUCUAGAGUGAGGGAGAGGCAGAUGGAAUUGGUGGUGUAGGGGUAAAAUCCGUAGAUAUCACCAAGAAUACCCAUUGCGAAGGCGAUCUGCUGGAACUCAACUGACGCUAAGGCGCGAAAGCGUGGGGAGCAAACAGGAUUAGAUACCCUGGUAGUCCACGCCCUAAACGAUGUACACUAGUUGUUGGGAUGCUAGUCAUCUCAGUAAUGCAGCUAACGCAUUAAGUGUACCGCCUGGGGAGUACGGUCGCAAGAUUAAAACUCAAAGGAAUAGACGGGGACCCGCACAAGCGGUGGAGCAUGUGGUUUAAUUCGAAGAUACGCGAAGAACCUUACCUGGGCUUGAUAUCCUAAGAACCUUAUAGAGAUAUGAGGGUGCUAGCUUGCUAGAACUUAGAGACAGGUGCUGCACGGCUGUCGUCAGCUCGUGUCGUGAGAUGUUGGGUUAAGUCCCGCAACGAGCGCAACCCACGUAUUUAGUUGCUAACGGUUCGGCCGAGCACUCUAAAUAGACUGCCUUCGUAAGGAGGAGGAAGGUGUGGACGACGUCAAGUCAUCAUGGCCCUUAUGCCCAGGGCGACACACGUGCUACAAUGGCAUAUACAAUGAGACGCAAUACUGCGAGGUGGAGCAAAUCUAUAAAAUAUGUCCCAGUUCGGAUUGUUCUCUGCAACUCGAGAGCAUGAAGCCGGAAUCGCUAGUAAUCGUAGAUCAGCCAUGCUACGGUGAAUACGUUCCCGGGUCUUGUACUCACCGCCCGUCACACCAUGGGAGUUGAUUUCACUCGAAGCCGGAAUACUAAACUAGUUUACCGUCCACAAA